CAAUAGCGUAUAUUAAAAUUGUUGCAGUUAAAAAGCUCGUAGUUGGAUUUCUGGUGGGAGCGAUCGGUCUGGCGCUUAGCGCGAGUACUUGCAUCGUCUCCGGCCAUCCUUGGGGAAAGUCUGUCUGGCAUUAAGUUGUCGGGCAGAGGAUCCUCAUCGUUUACUGUGAAAAAAUUAGAGUGUUCAAAGCAGGCUUAUGCCGUUGAAUAUAUUAGCAUGGAAUAAUAAGAUAGGACUUUGGUACUAUUUUGUUGGUUUGCGCACCAAAGUAAUGAUUAAUAGGGACAGUUGGGGGUAUUCGUAUUCCGUUGUCAGAGGUGAAAUUCUUGGAUUUACGGAAGACGAACUACUGCGAAAGCAUUUACCAAGGAUGCUUUCAUUAA
This 383-nucleotide ribosomal RNA is filed under the name uncultured eukaryote. RNAcentral describes it as "partial 18S ribosomal RNA". It matches the Rfam family "Eukaryotic small subunit ribosomal RNA", at positions 592 to 976 of the family's 1831-position model. The record is from RNAcentral.